GCAUCUAAGCACGAAACUUGCCCCGAGAUGAGUUCUCCCUGAGACUAUAAGUCUCCUGAAGGAACGUUAAAGACGAUGACGUUGAUAGGCCGGGUGUGUAAGCGCAGCGAUGCGUUGAGCUAACCGGUACUAAUGAACCGUGAGGCUUAACCUUACAACGCCGAAGAUGUUUGG
Molecule: ribosomal RNA, 174 nt
Filed under: Klebsiella pneumoniae
Lineage: Bacteria; Pseudomonadati; Pseudomonadota; Gammaproteobacteria; Enterobacterales; Enterobacteriaceae
Description: partial 23S ribosomal RNA
Rfam family: Bacterial large subunit ribosomal RNA (bases 1-154)
Source: RNAcentral